AUCACACAAUAGAAUUCAUCAUAUUAGUCUCCAAAUUCAAAAUAGUGAACAAAGUUCAAACAUUAGCCAAGUUUAGGUCUCGAGACAUUAGCAAAGCUCAUCAUAUUAGCCGAGUUUGUCGUCACAUUACAAAGUCAAUAUCGAUCAUCUAGACUACCAUCACAUAGAAGAGAGUUGCGGUCAUGAUGAGCAUCACAUAGAAACUGGUCUUCAUCCGGUUCCUCCUCCGCUCCCUCCUCUCUCCAGCUAUAUAGCGUGCGUAUCUAGCUUCCGCCUCCACCCUAGUGGUGUACCCUAACUGUUACCGCUGAAAUGGUGAACCUGUCUACGACACUCCUCCCAGUCGUCGUAGACUCCGGGAACCUUACCCUUGUACACGACAUACGACGAUAUCUCUAUGCACUAGACAAACAAAACGUUAGUAGCAAUUCACAGAUAAUAUACAAGAAAUAUAUAAGUAUGCAACAAAAGGAUCGGAAGAGAAAAGCAACACAUUAAUAGCACGAUUCAUGGUCCUACUAAUAAAUAGCAUCGAUUACAUAUAAGUUGAACGACUGUCCAAACUAAAGAUACAUACAAGUUCAUUAAAGUUUAAUUACAACAUGAGCUAAUCGAUAUUUCAGAACUACAUAGCAUCAAUACUUUUGACUCAACUCAGGGAUCGGAGCGUUGAUGAAGCCAGCGUCUUUCGUGAUGGUCAUGAAAUCGCGAUCGUUGUCAGCCUGCAUUUGUAGCGUUGUUUCUAUUUCACUAUUGAACGGUUGAUAUUUGAGGUAGAACUGCCCCGAGGUACGAAGGACAUCUUGAUAGAUGAUUACCGCAAACUCCGACUGGAUGCAAAAGAAUUCUUGUCUGAUGUCCUCGUCCUGGAUUGCCGACAAGCAUGCGGCCCAAUCUUUGAGAUUAUUUGGUAGCAGAAGGUGAUUAUGGUCCCGUACGAUCGCUCGCAUGUGAUGGAGGGCGUAGUAGGCAUCCUUCUGACUGCCAGGUGGCUGCUUGACGCAGGGGAACGUCGUUACAUGGGUGAACACAUUCUUGUCGUACCUACAAAUUGGCCUCCUGAAGGUGCCUCCAGAUUUGGCAUAGCCGGGGAGAGCAUCAUCAAGAACUUUCUUCAUAUUUGUGUAGUCUUUCUUCGACUGACGGUCCGAGUCGAAAUACGUGGCCAUGGAAUAUUUCAGGCUUAAGAAGCUGAGUUUGCAAUGUGUGUCACUGCACAAAACACAGAAUGUUAGAAAAAAAGAACGAUCGAAAUGUAAGAAAUCAUAUGUUAUGGCGCGGUGAGGGGAUGACUUACUCGGAAAAGUAAGGCACGAGGAAGUUAUCCUUAUCUGGGUUCGCCAGAAUGAUGCAUUCGAGGUAUGAACUCGCGACUUGUCGGUCCCCAGCGCUGCCCAAGAUCUUGGCACGCAUGUAGAAGGGGUCGACUAUCACGAUGUCUGGGGUCUUGUCUCUAAUGAUCUGCAUCUCCAUACUGAGCGAAAAUAGCCGAAUGAAGGUGUAGUGCAGCAGAUGAAGGUUAACCAUAGCGAAGAUGUCAUCAAACCGCAGGACGAUCAUAUGCCCGAUGGUGCUAUCGACAAAGCCCUUGCCCUCUGGCACCUUGGCCACAAAAACGGGGUAUGCCAUAACAUUCUCGGAGAUACGCCGCUUCUCCAUAGAAAGAACACUGUCAUGCAGACUCCGCAUAGCACCGGUUGCAGCAUUGAGCGGAUUAGUUGGUAGCAUCGGCCUACCCGCCACAUGCACCCUCCUCGAGAUAUCCUUAGGUACUGGUGGCCCGUCCUGAGCACGGAUCAUACUCGGUGCCAGCUGGCUCGCACCCUUGUUAUUUUUUCUUUUCCGUCCCUUCUGCUUCUUCUGCUGUAAUGGGAUCGAGUUCUGCUCAGAGACCACCUUCUUGAGUGUGUUUGGGCUGAUAAUAUUUCGCACCUCGACUAUUUGAGUCUCGGUGAAGGCGGCGGCUGGAGGCAUCUCCUGAGAACUGAACGCCAGACGACGCCUAUUGCAAUUGGGUUUCUCCGCGGUACCAGCUAGAUCGCGAUUGUUUUUUGCAGGGUUGGAUUCUUGAGAAGGAGGCCCCAAGAAUUUGUCACCGUACCCAUGUUCGUUGAAGUACUUAUCGACGUUGGUAAAUGUACCGUCGUCAUCGUCUAGAUCCUGUGUCAUAUGCAUGUCCGGAUCAGCUGACGGCGGUAGCGUUGCGGCAGUCUCGCCAUGGCUUGGCGUCGGCAUGACUGGUGGUGUUGUCUGUGGGGUGGUGUCCCCCGCCCCCAAACGAAUCUGGCUCUUCGGCCAAAGCAUGGACCAGCCUAAGCAGGCGCUGACGGCCAUCACAUCAUCUUCGUCGGCCCUAGGGGGUCGAUACGGAGGUAACAAGUCGUCGCAGCCCCACAGCACCCGAACCAGUUGAACCCUAUACACGAUGGGUGGCAUCAGAUUACCGUGGAACACGGGGUUGCCCGGUUCAAUGAUUCUGGCCUUGGCGACAUCGAUCAACUCGCCAUCCACGAAUUGCAAGAGAGUGCAUGGAAGGUUGGCGGCGCCCUGCGAAAACAUGUAGGGCGUCAGGGAUGCCCAGUCAAAGGCAAGGAGAUGAAGUCAUUGUCCGAGGCUGAGUUACCGUGAUGGCGUCGAGCUUGGCUAAUGUUGAGGCACCACCAACGGCGGGCACGCAAGUGACGGAGGGGCCGCUUGCUGCCGAGGUGCCGGCCGGCGUAUUCUUCCCACACCCGGGUGCAUUAAGCUACAAUGUCGGUGCCGCCGCCGGAGACACCAAUGCCGCCUCCGCCGGAGACACCAAUGGCGCCGGCGCGUUGUGCGAGUUGCUGCCCGUGAAGCUGGGAAUCGGGGGCGGCCCCUAUUGGCCGCCCGCAAUCCACCCCCGCAGCCCCUCAAGCAAGGUAGGCAUAAUGGCGGUGAUCGUCGCUCCCAUUUGGUCUCGCACUUGAUCUUCGACUAUCUCCGGAAUCCGCGCCACUUGUGCCUUGAGUUCUUGAACCUCGCGCUCCUGGCUUUCCGAGCUGGUCUUUCUCUCCUUUCGCCUAGCAGUAUAGUAUUCCGACCAUUUCGUGGACAAGCCUUUGUCGGCCACACGACCAGCUGACGACGGCUUACUGAACUUAUCCUUGUGUUUCAUUACGUUCAACGCCCUAUUUAAAGUGGUGUCCCAAGGGCCAGACGGGGAGCUCUAAGACGACCCCGCGCUACUGCUUGCAGUUUCCUGUGGAAGGAACGUGAACCAUUUAUAAAUUUGGCUUCAUUAAUUAGAAUGCAACCAUAUGGAGCUAAUUACGCGGGGGUGUAUUCCUUACCAGAACAAGCUCAAGCGCCUUGGUCUUCAGAUCCGUGGUAAGCUCCUUUGUUACUGGGUCCACCUUGUACCGGGCCCUGACAUAGUUCCUGGUCUGCUUGUCACAGUAUUUAUCGAAGAGGGGCGGUAGGCCUUGCUCGGCACGCUCCGCGUCCUCCUUGUCCCAUAUAGGUUCCGCCACUCUGUAAUCGCCGGGACCGAGUUUGUGGACCCCUAAGUUCAAGUCCCACAUAUCUUUCCCACACUGACUUGAUUCCACGGAUGCGUUGCUCUCGCACUUGAUCUUGAACUCCAGGUAGUCAGCUUCGCUGAUCGAAGGAUAUGUCUCCUUGAUCUUUUCGUAACUAUCACCACUUAGAAUCCUUCUCUUCACCGCGGCUCUCCAAGUAGCCAAGGUCGUGCUCAUCUUCGUGAGGGCGGCACUGUUCACUUUAUUCCUUGAGAGGCGUGUGUUUGUGAAGUCACCGAGGAACUUGUACCGUUCGUGCAGAUUCGUGAAGAGGAGGUUGCGCAAAUUCCCUCGGCCAUGAUGCCUUAGGUUCUCGGUGUUGAUCGAGACGGUGCUCCGGAGAAUGCACCCGAGUUGUCCCGUGUACCCACUGACUAAUUCUUUGGGCGCCGUUGGUUUCCCACUAGAGGACACUUGAGUAAAUUCCUCCUUGACGGUGCCGAGCACGUUCGGGCGCCGGUCCUUCUGUUGCAUCUUCGGUUGGCUGCCAUCUGUGAGUUCACUGCCAUCAUCAGUGGUGGCAUCCCCAGCGGCACCAUCGGUGGUGUCAUCCCCGACGCCACUAGGGGUUGUGUAGUCAGGAUCGGUGUCUUGCAUGGCGUCCUCAUAGCGGUGAGGUUCUUCCUCCAUCUCCUAGGUCAGCUCCCGGAAUAGCUUGCCCGAACCGCCGGCCUCAUCGUUGUCGGCCAUGUUCGCUCUAAAUAGGAAAAAAGGCUACUAGAGUUAUUGGAUGAGAUCAGGGUAGUAUCUAUUCUUCUAUCACAUAUAUUUUCACAUUACAGGUUAUAAACACCCCUUUACCCAAAAGAUUGUUCCAAGUGCACUAUUGCUAUCCUACUAAGUGCACUAUUGCAGGUUAUAUAUUUUCUAUCCUACUAAGUGCACUAUUGCUAAAGCUGGAGGGUCACACAUUCAUAAUAGCUUUAGCAAGUAGCAGUGGAAUAAUGCAACAGUGUUGCUGUGUUCCUAAGCUGAAUGUGUGUGAGGGCACUACAGUAGUCUCCUUAGGUCUUUCACUGGAAUAUACUGUAUCGAUCACUCUAACCUGAAAGCUGAGUGGGUGAGUGGGGUUCAUGCUAGGUUCCAUAAAGUUCCUGCUUUUAUUUGACAACUAAUAUGGGGUUCGUACUUUUUCUCUCUUAAACCUCCAUGAAAACAAUGUGCUUGCCACAUAUUGUGGUAUUUCACUAAUGGAAGGUGCCAUCCUUGCAUUUGCAUACAUGUGUGGUGUACACCUUUGUGGUAGCUGGGCGUUUAAAAUAGAUUGCACAUUGAAAGAAGUCUUUGAAAUGGUUGGGUGAUCAUUAGGCACCCCACUAGUACCUUUAGUUCAAAAUUUCUUUCUUCUUUUACUUGAACAACCUCAAGUGCCAAAAGCAAAGGGAAAUGCUAGCUGCUUGCUUAGCUGUAAGUUGUGUAAAUCAUGCAUGCCUAGUGUUGAAGUUCAUCCAAGUACUUGCAUUUGGUUGAGGAUUGCAAGCAUCGGUUACUUAUUUCUUUAAUUUAUAACAGCUGUCAAAGUUUACAGGUGAUUACACAUAACAGACAAAGUUGUGAUCCUUUACUCCUAUUUGACUACAGACAAGCACCAAACUGCCAUCAUUAGAAACAUACAUGGUGUUGUAGUAAUAACAAAUAGACCAUAUGCGCAGAUAUAAGAAAUGCUGAACAAUUCUCCCAGGUAAAAGCCAUUCAUGCUGAUUAAUUUUUGUUUCGGUUGAGAAUCGGGCACCUUCUAGGUCAAGAAAAUUGGGCAUGACCUUUGCUAAUUUUCUUGACCUAGGAGUGCCCCAUUCUCAACCGAAACGGAAAUUAAUCAACAUUUCAGGAGAAAGGGGUAUUUGUCCCUGCAAACCAUAGUAGCAGGUAGCGGCAGCAACAGCAAAGUAGCGAUGACUCAAGCAGCAGGCCGGGAACACAAUAACAGUCCAUACUUGCAUGUAUGUAGAACAUAUUCAUAGUCGCCUCUACAGCAAUGCGGAGACACAGUCACUACUGGGCAGUAGCAGUAAAGGACAUGCUUUUUUCAGAGGGUUAAUCACAUCAUUGACAAUAGUAACUAACAAUUCAGUAGAUCCCACAGGACAGUAACUAACCAUGCACUAAUAAUCGCCUUCAAAACAGUAGAUCCCACAUGACACAAGACGUAAGCAACACAUACUAAAAUCUGAGAUAUAUACAGAAGUCGUGAUGCACAAUUUCAUCUAUAACGGAAAAUAAGAUACGAGUACAAUUUGUAUGCCAACCAUGACUGAAAAAUGUUACUAAAUGCAAAUCCAAUCAUCCAGCCAUGCUGUUCAUACCAUAGGAUGUCUAAUUAUUUGAAGAACUUGUCCUAUUUUGCAACUUAAAAUGGUGAGCACCCGAAGAUGCACAUUACCCAGCAGAAGUCGGCGUCGGAAAAAUUGUUUUAAAUUCGUAUUCUAACAUGCAACAAAUUGACCACAUCAAAUUGCCCACAUUCUAUCACUGACUAUUUGAGAAAUCAGUGUAUGUGCAACAAACAACAACAGAAAAACGGUAUCAAGGGAUGCUUCUAUUUGAUGUUAAGCAGAGAAUUUGAUGAAUGGACAAAAUUCAACUCCGUCCACCAAACAGCUAAAUGGGCUAAGUGUGAUAGCUGGUUGGUUGAUGUGUAGUGUUUGAAGAAACAAUCAGCUAGAUGUGCCUUAUCCUUAUCAUUAAAUUUUUUCUGCACCUCCGUUCUUCUAAUACUUUCCAGCUAGAUGUGCAGUGUUUGAAGAAGUAGUCCAAAGGUAAGAAAUUUACCUUGAAUACCCGCCGAGAGGAGCCCGAGGUCACCAUUGGCGAUGAGGCCGAUGACUCACCGGCGAAGCCCCCUCCUGGACUGCUCCUCCGAGGGGAAGCAAGAAGGGCUGGAGAUGGCCGCUGCUCCCUUGCCGACUGUGCCCUAGCGGUCUCUGAUCUGAGCCGGAGGAGAGCACCGGAGAGAUGAGUCGGGAGAGGAGGCGACAGCGGCGGAAGAGGUGGAGAAGGAAGAGGGGAGAGGAGGCGGAGCUCACCGGGGGAAGGUGGUCUCCACAGUGGUGGGCGACGAACGGGGGAAGGUGGUCGCCGUGGUGGUGGGCGGCGAAUGGGGGAAGGUGGUCGCCGC
Molecule: long non-coding RNA, 6657 nt
Filed under: Triticum aestivum (bread wheat)
Lineage: Eukaryota; Viridiplantae; Streptophyta; Magnoliopsida; Poales; Poaceae
Description: long non-coding RNA (TAES_LNC015230)
Source: RNAcentral